RNAcentral lists this ribosomal RNA (468 nucleotides) under uncultured bacterium. RNAcentral's name for it is "partial 16S ribosomal RNA". It matches the Rfam family "Bacterial small subunit ribosomal RNA", at positions 28 to 507 of the family's 1533-position model. The record is from RNAcentral.
GACGAACGCUGGCGGCGUGCUUAACACAUGCAAGUCGAACGGAAAGGCCCUGCUUUUGUGGGGUGCUCGAGUGGCGAACGGGUGAGUAACACGUGAGUAACCUGCCCUUGACUUUGGGAUAACUUCAGGAAACUGGGGCUAAUACCGGAUAGGAGCUCCUGCUGCAUGGUGGGGGUUGGAAAGUUUCGGCGGUUGGGGAUGGACUCGCGGCUUAUCAGCUUGUUGGUGGGGUAGUGGCUUACCAAGGCUUUGACGGGUAGCCGGCCUGAGAGGGUGACCGGCCACAUUGGGACUGAGAUACGGCCCAGAAUCCUACGGGAGGCAGCAGUGGCGAAUAUUGCACAAUGGGCGGAAGCCUGAUGCAGAAACGCCGCGUGCGGGAUGACGGCCUUCGGGUUGUAAACCGCUUUCGCCUGUGACGAAGCGUGAGUGACGGUAAUGGGUAAAGAAGCACCGGCUAACUACGUG